ACACACCUAGGGCUGGCUCGGUGCUGCAGGGUGUGUGGACCCCCUGGCCCUGCUGUGUGCACUCUGCCGUACCCUGGAGCUGACGGUCCCCCAGGGCUAUGACCUUUUCCCGAUGCCACGCCUAGGGUACACCCCUCCUCAGACCUGGGGCCAUCUGCCCUUUGUCCCACUGAGCAAAGCGUUUUGGAGCUUGAAUAAGGACCCUUUCAUCUCGAAUCUCACGCUGAAUUAUUGACAUUUGGGCAGCAUGAAUUUUUCACAUUAAUGGACUAUUUAAAAACAUUUUUCUUUAAAGCAGAAACCUGAGUGCUUUAAAGAAAAAGCCUUUCUCUUUUCUUUUAAGUGACCCAGUGUGAGUACAGAAAACCUCCAGCUCCGAGUUUUCUUCAUCCUUCAUGACGCCUAACAACCAGAGCCUCAGCUGUUACAUCCAAGGCCCGAGACAUACCCCACAGAGGAGAGGCCGGUCCAGGACCCUAAGGAGGGUGCCCAUGACUGGGAGCCAGAGAGCACAGGUGUGGAUGGUUUGGAGGACGCACGAGUGUUGGUUAAAACAAGUAGCACACUCGGGCCAAUGCCCCCCUCCUCACCCCGCUGUGCUGGACAGGAGGUGUGGGCGGGGGACGUCCCUGAGGGUGAGCGGAACCUGAGGUGCCUGAGGAAGCUCUGCAUGCAGGCAGGUCCAGGCAGCGGGAAUGGAGCCGUCCUACACAGAGAGGACGUCUGGAACAGCGUCUGUUCCGUGGGAGUCGCUGUUGCACUGACUCCUUCCAGGUGGAGAGGGAGGGGCGGGCGGCAUCCCUUCACCAGUUCGCAUGUAUUUCCUCAUGGAACCCCGUUUCAUGGGCCAAACCACCUCCUAUUCUAGGCUCAGUAGGUAGCAUCUGAUUCUGGAACCUGAAGACCCAUCCUGAACACCUGAGACCACAGACCAGCACCAUCAAGGUGGGUCGAGGCUCCGUGUGUCCAAGUUCCUCCUCCCUCCCCUCCAACAGCGCACGGAGUUCGGGCAGCACCGCCGACCCAGGUGACCCAACAGCACACGGAGGCCGGGCAGCACCGCCGACCCUGGUGACCUAACAGCACAUGAAGGCCGGGCAUCACCGGGGACCCAGGUGACCCAACAGCGCACGGA
Myotis davidii is the source of this 1135-nucleotide long non-coding RNA. RefSeq lists it as uncharacterized. NCBI's taxonomy places the organism in Eukaryota, Metazoa, Chordata, Mammalia, Chiroptera, Vespertilionidae. The transcript has 3 exons. The record is from RefSeq and is a predicted model, not a curated record.